RNAcentral lists this unclassified non-coding RNA (320 nucleotides) under Basidiomycota sp. RNAcentral's name for it is "partial contains small subunit ribosomal RNA, internal transcribed spacer 1, and 5.8S ribosomal RNA". The stretch from base 1 to 47 matches the Rfam family "Eukaryotic small subunit ribosomal RNA", at positions 1785 to 1831 of the family's 1831-position model. The record is from RNAcentral. Lineage: Eukaryota; Fungi; Basidiomycota.
AAAGUCGUAACAAGGUUUCCGUAGGUGAACCUGCGGAAGGAUCAUUAAUGAAUAACUAUGGCAUUGGUUGUAGCUGGCUUCUAGGAGCACUGUGCACACCCGUCAUUUUUAUCUUUCCACCUGUGCACUUAAUGUAGGUCUGGAUAACUCUCGCUUAACACAAGCGGAUGCAAGGAUUGCCGUAUCGUAAGGCCCGGCUCUCUUUGAAUUUCCAGGUCUAUGUACCUUUACACACCCCAAUUGAAUGAUGAAGAAUGUAGUCAAUGGGCUUCUAGCCUAUAAAACAUAUACAACUUUCAGCAACGGAUCUCUUGGCUCUC